GCCGACGUAGCUCAGUGGUAGAGCAGCUGAUUUGUAAUCAGCGGGUCGGGGGUUCAAAUCCCUUCGUCGGCUCCA
Molecule: transfer RNA, 75 nt
Filed under: Armatimonadota bacterium
Lineage: Bacteria; Bacillati; Armatimonadota
Description: Armatimonadetes bacterium (groundwater metagenome) tRNA-Thr
Rfam family: tRNA
About the family: Transfer RNA (tRNA) molecules are approximately 80 nucleotides in length. Their secondary structure includes four short double-helical elements and three loops (D, anti-codon, and T loops). Further hydrogen bonds mediate the characteristic L-shaped molecular structure. tRNAs have two regions of fundamental functional importance: the anti-codon, which is responsible for specific mRNA codon recognition, and the 3' end, to which the tRNAs corresponding amino acid is attached (by aminoacyl-tRNA synthetases). tRNAs cope with the degeneracy of the genetic code in two manners: having more than one tRNA (with a specific anti-codon) for a particular amino acid; and 'wobble' base-pairing, i.e. permitting non-standard base-pairing at the 3rd anti-codon position.
Source: RNAcentral